GACGAACGCUGGCGGCGCGCUUAACACAUGCAAGUCGAGCGAGAACCAGGGCUUCGGCUCUGGGGACAGCGGCGAACGGGUGAGUAACACGUGAGUAAUCUGCCCUCGACACUGGGAUAGCCCGGGGAAACCCGGAUUAAUACCGGAUAGCCUUUCGAGCUCUCGGGCUCGUCAGAAAAGGAUGGCUUCGGCUUUCGGUUGAGGAUGAGCUUGCGGCGUAUUAGCUUGUUGGUGAGGAACGGCUCACCAAGGCGACAAUCCGUAGCUGGUCUGAGAGGACGAUCAGCCACACUGGGACUGAGACACGGCCCAGACUCCUACGGGA
This 325-nucleotide ribosomal RNA is filed under the name uncultured bacterium. RNAcentral's name for it is "bacterial SSU rRNA". It matches the Rfam family "Bacterial small subunit ribosomal RNA", at positions 28 to 346 of the family's 1533-position model. The record is from RNAcentral.